UUAUAAGUGUAUUACAGUAACGAUAAAAGACAUUCUCUGAUUCUCUGAUGAUCCAGAGGAGCGGGGCUGGUGUAAUACCUCUCUGUGCCAGCAGGGGGAGACAACCUUCCACCAGUUCAGAGUCUGGGUUAAAAUGGUUCUGAUGGUUCUGAAGGCUAAGCAGGAUUGAGUCAGAGCCAGCUUCCAGUUUUAUAACAAAUUUAUUUGAAUAGUGGAAUUUUAUUAACAACUAGUUUAUUUUACAACAAGCCAUGAGAGCAGCAGCCUCCUCUGGUCCAGGUGGGUCUCAGCUGAUCAGCAGGUAUCAGGGUUUCUCUCAGUGAUAUAAAACAAAAACAUGAUGAUUAAUCUGACCCGAUCCACCAGCAGAACCGGCUCAGGGUUCUGUGUUCUGGAUCCAGCUGGAUGGGUCCCCAUAACACAGGUAUGGUCCACAUGUCUGCUCAGCCUCAUGUAGCAGGUAAACCGUCCAACACCCAGGUCCCAUGGCUGGUUCUGGACCGUUAACUGGGAACUGUGGGUAAUGUAGUCUGGCAGAAAGCUAAUGUAGGCCAGAACACUGACGCUGGUGGAGGCUGGACUACAGAAAGACUUGAAAUGAGACAUAAUAGCUAAAAUUACAUGGAGCCUGGGUCCUUCAGCCCAAACAGAAGAGCAUUAUGGGUGUUUGAGUCCAAAGUGUGCUAGGAGCUGCUCUGCAAACAGGAGGAUGAUGGGUGCUGUAGUCCAAGACAGAACAGCAUGAUGGGUGCUGUAGUCCAAGACAGAAGAAGAUGGAGGUGUUUUAGUCGGUUAUGUGGAGGAUAGCAGACAUUAUAGUCCAAGCAGAGGGGGGUGCUGGGUCUUGUAGUCCAAACAGAGGAGGCAGACGCUGCCUGACAUUCGUCCUUGGUAGUCAGAAUUUCUGACCUCCGAGUUGGAAAUGUCAACUGGAACGGCCUCUAAAGUGGGAAUUACGGGUCAGACCCGACUUCCUCUUCAUGAUGGCUGCUUCUUUUAGCCACGUUGAGUAAACUUCAUACUUUGACUGUUUUUAGCAGUUCUUUGGGCAUUUAGUCAGGUGGUACUUCUCAGUGUUCUUGGACGAGAUGUUUCAGCUCUGUUAAUUUGCAUGAACACCGUGUAGAAGCGUUAUAGUUUUAACUACAGUAGCCAUAUUUGUGGCUAAACGGGCAAAACAUAUAACAAUUUUAAAGUGUGACAUUCUAAAAUUCAGCUGGGCUGUAUUUGUAUGUUUAAUAAUGGCUUCUAAGCGUUUUUCCUGCUGUCUGACAAACUUAAAGCCCAAAAAGACAGAGAAGACGUAAUCUGGAACUUGUUAGUUUGAGUUCGGAGACAAAUGGAGCGCAGCAAGAGUCCAAAAAGAGAUCCUGGUAGAUUUUAAAGUCCACACGGAAAGAGGAGGCUGGGUGUUGUAGUUCAAGAAGAGAGAGAUGAGUGUUGGGGUGAACACAGAGGAGCGCUGUAGGUUUUGUAGUCCAAAGGAGAGCGGGUUCUAAGCAGAACCUGGCUUGGGCCCUCCUGCUGAUACGAACAGCAGAACCAGCACUGUUUCAGUACAGAUUAUCUGGGAGAGAGGCCCUCUUUAAUCAGCUGAGCUUAAAGUAAUCAGGGAUAAUUAUCAUUUGCUGAAAUGUAUUCAUGAACAAAAUGAGCUCAAAUACAAAGAAAAGUUUAAAGUUGCAUCAGAUUGUAACUAUGGCAACACAACAAGUUUACUAUGAAUAUUAAUAUCACUUUUACAAAGCAGAUGUGUUGAUCAUUUAAAUCUUACAUUUUAAACGAUUUAAAAUAUUUUAUUUCAUUUCUGCUGAAACAGAAUCAAAUUUAAAAUAUUUUCAAAAAAACAGACAUAAAAUUUCAGAUCUGGUUUCAAAUUCAGCCGUUGAUGGGAGGCCCCUGGUGGUUCAGGAGCCCCGAGGCUUUGCUUCUGGCUUGGGCAAGGCUCUAAGAGGAGGCUUGUGGGUGUUGUAGUCCUUGUGGAGGAGAAACGCAGGUUUUGUAGUCCAUAUUGAGUAGGAUGUGGGUGUUGUAGUCCUUAGUCCUGCUGAAUGUUGGAGUUGUAGUCCUUAUGGAGGGUUGUGGGUGUUGUAGUCCAAAUUAAGGAUGAAUGUGGGAGUUGUAGUCCUUAUUGAAGAGGAAUGGAGGUUUUGUAGUCCUUUUGGAGGAGGAUUAUGGGUGUUGUAGUCCAUAUUAAGGAUUCAUGUAGGUGUUGUGGUCCUUAUUGAGGAGGAAUGCAAGUUUUGUGGUCCAUAUUGAAGAUGAAUGUGGGAGUUGUAGUCUUUAUUGAAGAGGAAUGGAGGUUUUGUAGUCCUUUUGGAGGAGGAUUAUGGGUGUUGU
Molecule: long non-coding RNA, 2340 nt
Organism: Fundulus heteroclitus (mummichog)
Lineage: Eukaryota; Metazoa; Chordata; Actinopteri; Cyprinodontiformes; Fundulidae
Exons: 2
Source: RefSeq, a predicted model, not a curated record